GUUGUGAUUGGGAUGGAAGUGGCUGCUUCUGAGUUUUAUGGUAAAGACAAGACUUAUGAUCUAAACUUUAAAGAAGAGAAUAAUGAUGGCUCACAAAAGAUAUCAGGUUAUGACUGAAGGCUCUCAUUUCAUUGGAAAGUUUGGAAGCUACUGCAAGUUCUUUCUACUUGCUAGGGAUGAGAAUAUUUUAGUUUGUGCACAAGAGAAACUUUUAAGUUUGUGCACAUGAGAAUCUUUCAAGUUUGUAUUUGUUAGGGAUUUGUUAUGUUAGUACUUGUUACUGACUUUUAGUUCAACAAAUUAUAUUUGAGUAUUGACUUUU
Molecule: long non-coding RNA, 322 nt
Organism: Coffea eugenioides
Lineage: Eukaryota; Viridiplantae; Streptophyta; Magnoliopsida; Gentianales; Rubiaceae
Exons: 2
Source: RefSeq, a predicted model, not a curated record